Molecule: ribosomal RNA, 103 nt
Filed under: Escherichia coli
Lineage: Bacteria; Pseudomonadati; Pseudomonadota; Gammaproteobacteria; Enterobacterales; Enterobacteriaceae
Also listed under: 1 other name
Description: partial 23S ribosomal RNA
Rfam family: Bacterial large subunit ribosomal RNA
Source: RNAcentral
GGGUUGUGAGGUUAAGCGACUAAGCGUACACGGUGGAUGCCCUGGCAGUCAGAGGCGAUGAAGGACGUGCUAAUCUGCGAUAAGCGUCGGUAAGGUGAUAUGA